This 66-nucleotide transfer RNA is filed under the name Limbodessus palmulaoides. RNAcentral's name for it is "tRNA-Glu". Lineage: Eukaryota; Metazoa; Arthropoda; Insecta; Coleoptera; Dytiscidae. The record is from RNAcentral.
AUUUAUAUAAUUUAAAUAAAAUCUUACAUUUUCAAUGUAAAAAUAAAACUCAAGUUUUUAUAAAUA